Molecule: long non-coding RNA, 1244 nt
Organism: Platichthys flesus (European flounder)
Lineage: Eukaryota; Metazoa; Chordata; Actinopteri; Pleuronectiformes; Pleuronectidae
Exons: 2
Source: RefSeq, a predicted model, not a curated record
UGCAACUCGGUGGUGGGCGUCCUCAUCCUCAUACUCUUCGUCAUCCUCUACAAGGCCUGCAAGGUGCCUGCACACCCGGACAAAAUGCCGGUUUUCACAGCAAUGCCGCAGCCGAGGAAGGAGCAGAGCCCCGUCCAAUCUGUGAAUGUCAGAGGAGCUCAGGCUAAGCUAACUGUGGGAAGAGUUGUGGCAAGACCAAUAGCAACAACAAGCACGUCCAAUCCUCUUAUCUCCGCUGGGCGUCUCUGGGACUGUCCAUCUGUCAGUCUCUUUGUUUUGCUCCACACAGACAGACUAUGAUCUCUUCCUCUGCUCCUUACUUUUUCAUCCCGUCAAGUGAGACGGCUGAAAGGAUGUGGAGGAGAAAGAGGAAAAAAAACCAGCUGAAUUGGAAUGGAAGCGUUAGGGGCGACAGGGUCGACUGAGUCACAAUGAGGUGUCAGACGAGGCAACGUGUACCUGUGUAGCUUAAGAGCAUCCUGUUUUUUGCCUGAGCGAUGCAGGGAGGAGAGAGAUGCUGCCGGAGGAAGUGUGGGUGUGAUAAAGGGCAGAUAUUUGGUGGGAUGAUAAAGUGCAGGGGAAGAACCACUUUGAUGUGUUGUUUACAGAAACGGAAGCUCGCGGCCACUAUUUGACAGUCUUCCUUUUUGACGUGUCUGCUUCCACCGAUUCCACCGACUCCCACAGGAUUAAAAGUAGCAGUGUAAAUGUUCCUUGUGUGUCCCGGUGUGCCUCUCUUUCAGUCUGUGAACUACUCCAGAGACAAAAUAGUGUAUUUAUUGAAAGCUUCCCCCAGAAAUGACUGGAAACACACAGUCAAACAGGUACAGGUGAAAAUUGUAUUCGAGUAAGGCAUCUGGUAACUGUGGGAUAUCAAGAUUGUUUGAAGGGUUUAAAAGAGAUGAUAUGAGCCAGACUGACAAAACAGUCAGUCAAUCAUUACCUCAUCUCCACAUCAUGGGAAUGAAAACUGCAGCAUAUGUGUUUUUGUAUUGUAAACAUAUUUUAUUGUGAAAGGGCUUUAAAAACGUUUCUUAAUUUGCUUGUUUGUUUUUUCAGAUGAAAUCUAAUCUCAGGUAUUAGUUUAUUUUCGCCCAAUGAAAUAAGAACAUGUUGAUUUUAUUUUCCUUGUAGCACUUUGUGCUCUGCUUCAUUUGAUGCGACAUUUCUGAGAAAUGCACUGGGGUCAGAACUGUGGAUUUGAUUGAUUGAUUGAUCUGUCAAAAUAAAAUCCAUUGAUGAAA